Long non-coding RNA from Calliphora vicina (urban bluebottle blowfly), 1716 nucleotides. RefSeq lists it as uncharacterized. Lineage: Eukaryota; Metazoa; Arthropoda; Insecta; Diptera; Calliphoridae. The transcript is spliced from 2 exons. The record is from RefSeq and is a predicted model, not a curated record.
AUCGAUACAUCAUUUAAUAGAUAUUUUGGUCCUCUAUUCAGGACUUUUUUCCACAUUGGUGCUUAACGAAUAUAUUCGUUUUUAGGAGCCAAAGUCUGCUACGAAGCAACAAUUAAAUUCUUCUGUGGAUUUUUGAAAUGGCGCAAGUGACAACCACGAAAUCUGAUUCAAGGGUCAUUCAGUAAUUAAUUCCAGUUUUUAAAAUGUAAAUAUCGUUUAAAAUUACCAGGGGGGUUACUCUCUAUUGCGAUGCGAAAGAAAAAUGGUACAAUUGGUACCCUUUAUUGCGCUUUCGCAUCGCACAAAAAAUUUGUUUAAAAUGUUUUUAUUUACAAGUUUUGACAUUUAAUUUUGUCAUUCUUCGCUAUUUUUUAUUUUGUGGUACCAGUAUUGCUUCUUUUUGCGAAAGCGUUUGCGUAGACGAUACAGAGUACAAAAUUGUAUUCUUAACGCAUUUACCUUUCGCAUCGAAAUUGCUUUCGCAUCGCAAUAGGGAGUAACCCCCCAGAUAAUGAUUCCACAAAUAAAGCAAUAUUUUUGUCAUGCUUUUGUUUACUUUUUAAUGAUACGUGCUCAUGUAUAUAAACAAAAUACUACCUUUUUAUGCAACUCUGAAAAAAGUUUGCUAAAAUUUAAAAAAGUUUGUUUUCUUCAGCAUAAAUGCAACAUUUUUCUCAGAAAAGAAAACACCAUUUAAUGCACUUUAACCCAAUACCAAACAUGACUGUGACAGAAAAAGUUCAGCUUUUGAAUUAAUCGCCACUUUUGGUACAUUUCAACCCUCUGUACUAUUAUUGAAAGUCCAAAUUCAAAACAUAAUCUCAUCAACAUCUCCACUAUAGUCGUGGGAAAUUUUAUUAAAAUCGGAUAAUGACAAAGUUAACUUUUGGAACAAAGCCAGCCGCUAAUUACAGUAGCAAGACGCGUUCAAAAUCAAAUUAUUGAACAAUACUUUAGUUAAGUAUGUUAAUGAAUAAAUAAAUAUUUUAUAAACACAUGUAAUGGAAUGUAAACUAUAGGAAAAUAAUAGCAAAAAUUGCAUUUAAAACAAAAUAAUAUUAAUAGUACAUAUUUUAGCAUUCUUCUAUUUCAUUCUCUUAUGUGACGAUAAUAUCUCGGAUAAACAGGAAAAACUUUGUGUUUUUAAUUCUCUUGUUUUUAUUUCAUUUCUUUUUUCAUAAAUUGCCGCUGCGCAAACAUUUGUUCCAUUCGAGCCGGAUUUUGGCUGUGAAAUUUUGAGAAAUUGGAAUAACUCAACCAGGAACCAUAUUGUUAUCAACAACAACAUUCAUCAUAUAAAUAUUAAAUAUCUUCAUAUUUAACAAGUUGCUUGACAAAAAUAGAAAUUAGCCUAAUUGGGCAGCAGCAUCAAAAGAAGUCGUGUCGCCGUGAAGUUGUGCUGUCGUGAAAAGAAUCGUCUUCAUAUAAACGUGUGUAUUUUAUUUUUCACAGAUUGAAUUCGAAAGCGUGCUGUCGUCAAUGUGUUUAAUGCAUUAACAUUUACAUUUAUACAGUCCAUUGCUUUGACAUUAUUUCGUAGAGUACAACUUUAGUCAACUCCGGGUUUGUUAUUAUGGACGGACAUAUUGUGAAAAAUAAUUUAUUUUAUUUAUUUCGUUAUUUCGUAAAUUUAAUUUAUUUAUUAUUAAAAUGUUUGCGAAACGCUGUGAACAAAUAAAGUUAAUUAUUUGAUAUAUUUUUUAUUUACAAUGCGAG